GACGUAGGGCGCGAGCGUUGUCCGGAAUUACUGGGCGUAAAGCGUGCGUAGUCGGUUAUCUAAGUCAGGUGUGAAAUCCCCGGGCUCAACCUGGGAAUUGCAUUUGAUACUGGAUAGCUAGAGUUCGGCAGAGGGAAGUGGAAUUUCUGGUGUAGCGGUGAAAUGCGUAGAUAUCAGAAGGAACAUCAGUGGCGAAAGCGACUUCCUGGACCAGAACUGACGAUCAGGCACGAAAGCGUGGGGAGCAAACAGG
This 253-nucleotide ribosomal RNA is filed under the name uncultured bacterium. Its description in RNAcentral is "partial 16S ribosomal RNA". It matches the Rfam family "Bacterial small subunit ribosomal RNA", at positions 524 to 776 of the family's 1533-position model. The record is from RNAcentral.